AAGGUCAAGGACAACGACGACGCCCAUCCUUCAGUGGCUCAGGCUGCUCUUCUACCCAGUCUACACAGUCAUCGAGCCAUCCAGCUGUUCAUACUCCGGCUGACUGUGUGACAGCUAUAUGUCGAGAUCGCGAUCUUCUGAAGAUACUGGGCGGACAUCUGGGGGCUCUGAGUGCUGAGGAGUUAGCUGAAGCAGUAGCGGCAGCAGCAGCAUCACAACACGGGGAUGACGACGAGGUAUAAAAUCAAUUUGUUGUAUAUAUUGUCGUAAUAUACCAAUAUUAACAUUGUUAGUAUAUAUUUGUAACUUGUUUUAUUAUUUUGUUAAUUACAGGGUGAUCAAGGAGGCGGUGAUGCUUGACGUACC
Molecule: long non-coding RNA, 366 nt
Filed under: Panax ginseng (ginseng)
Lineage: Eukaryota; Viridiplantae; Streptophyta; Magnoliopsida; Apiales; Araliaceae
Description: long non-coding RNA (PGIN_LNC016672)
Source: RNAcentral